This 159-nucleotide ribosomal RNA is filed under the name Steindachnerina brevipinna. Its description in RNAcentral is "partial small subunit ribosomal RNA". Lineage: Eukaryota; Metazoa; Chordata; Actinopteri; Characiformes; Curimatidae. The record is from RNAcentral.
CGUAAAGAGUGGUUUGGGACACACCCAAAAUAAAGCCGAAGAUCUCCCAAGCCGUCACACGCACCCCGGAGACACGAAGCCCUAAUACGAAGGUAGCUUUACAAACACCCCGACGCCACGAAAGCUAAGAAACAAACUGGGAUUAGAUACCCCACUAUG